Molecule: ribosomal RNA, 489 nt
Filed under: uncultured bacterium
Lineage: Bacteria
Description: bacterial SSU rRNA
Rfam family: Bacterial small subunit ribosomal RNA
Source: RNAcentral
GACGAACGCUGGCGGCGCGCUUAACACAUGCAAGUCGUGCGGUGUGGAAGGCAAGUCUUACGACAAGCCUUCGACACAGCGGCGAACGGGUGAGUAACACGUGAGUAGCUGUCCUAAGGAGGGGGAUAACGCCUGGAAACGGGUGCUAAUACCCCAUAUGCCUCGCAAGAGGUGAAAGUGUACUUGCUACAGCCUUAGGGUGUGCUCGCGGCCUAUCAGCUAGUUGGUGAGGUAACGGCUCACCAAGGCGACGACGGGUAGCCGGUCUGAGAGGAUGUACGGCCACACUGGGACUGAGAUACGGCCCAGACUCCUACGGGAGGCAGCAGUUGGGAAUCUUAGGCAAUGGACGAAAGUCUGACCUAGCGACGCCGCGUGAGGGAAGAAGGCCUUCGGGUUGUAAAGCUCUUUUGUCCGGAAAGAAAAGCGCCGGGUUAAUACCCUGGGAGGAUGACGGUACCAUCAGAAGAAGCACCGGCUAACUACGUG